RNAcentral lists this long non-coding RNA (11996 nucleotides) under Piliocolobus tephrosceles (Ugandan red Colobus). Its description in RNAcentral is "lncRNA (ENSPTEG00000015482.1)". The record is from RNAcentral. Lineage: Eukaryota; Metazoa; Chordata; Mammalia; Primates; Cercopithecidae.
UAAACACAUUAUAAAAUAUAUCACACCUUAUUGUAAUAUAUUUAUUAAUUUUUUGCAUUUUAAUUAUAUACAUAUACUUAACAUCAUUUGUACCAUGUGGAGGUCAUUACUAGAUAAAAUAAUUAGUAUAAAAUUAGAAAAUGAAAAUAUAUCCAGAAUCAAUAAUCAAAGAGUUGUUUUUUUAAGUUUUAAAAAUUUUGAAAAUUUUGUAUUAAAAAAGAAAAAUGUCAAAAAAACAUCAUCUUAUUUGAGUAAGUUAAUGGAUGAUAAAAAAAAAGAGAAAAAGAAAAAGAAGGCGGGAGGUAAAGCUAGUGGUGCGACUACAACAGCUACUACUAUCGUUAAUGACAGUGGUGGUGUCUUGUGUAAAAAAAGUGUAACAACUGCAUCGGAUAAUAUACAAAACGUUAAUAAAGAAACUAAACAAAUAACGCAUAAAAAAAAGGACGGUAGUACUAGUAAUAAAAAAAAAAAAAAGGAGACAGCGAUGGUGGAUGUUGCAAAGGGAGUGGACGAAGUAGAUAUAACGGAAGAAUCGAAUAAGGAUAAAGAAAAGAAUAAGCUGGAUGAUAAAAGGAAAAAGGCUUUUAGUAGGUCUAGUUCUAUUGGUGGUCAAUCGAAUAAGAGUAGUAGUAGAAAGGUAAGCAAGGGAGUUAGUAUGGAAAAUCGUGCACAUAUUAUAGACGCAGAAGUAUCGAGUAAAAUUAUAAAAACGGAAGAGAAUGACAAUGAAAAAAGAGAAAAGGAAAUAAACAAUGAUAAUGGUUAUAACAAUACGGUUUCUUUGUUUGUUAAUGAACAUGGAAAAGUUAAAAAUUUUAUAGCUUCCAAUAAUGCUAUUGAUAAUAAAAAAAAAGAAGAAAAUGCAAAGGAUAAAAAAUACAUAAAAAGUAGUAGUUCGUUAAAAUAUGAAAAUAAUAAUAAUAAUAAUGAUGAUGAUGAUGGUGGUGGUUAUUAUGAUGAUAUAAGUAAAGAAGAAAUAAAGAAGCAUUUUGAAAAAUAUAAUAAUACAUUGCAAAAAAUAAUAAGUUUAAAUAAUGAUGAAAAUAUAUAUUUAAGUUUAAGUUUAGAAGUAGAAAGUGUUUAUAGUAUUAACAUUAGAAACAAUAUAAUAAAAUUAUUAACGGAGUGUCAAAUUGAGGAGAAUGUAUAUGCAUUUAUUGAAACGUUUUAUAUUAUAUCUGUACUAAUACAUUAUAGUACCCAUAUUUUAGAAGAUUUUUGUGACGCAGAAUUCUUAAUGAAAUUCAAUAGUCUUUUUUAUAAGGGUGCGCGUAUUAAUGGAAAUGGUGUUUAUGACGUUAGCGUUUAUGAUAAUAGUGGUCAAAACAGCAGCAGUAAUAACAUCAUCAGUAGUAGCAACAACAAUAGCAACAGUAACAACAACAGCAACAGUAACAGCAAUAAUGCAUUUGUCAUAUACUAUUUGUUCACGCUAUACUCAUUUCUUCCUUUGUGUAUAUAUGAUGGCUGCGUACUGGAUGAAUACGAGAAAAAAAAAAAAAAAGACGCUAACGAUGUUGUACUAUUUUUCGAGCAUGACGAAAGUGAAAAGACUGAAAAGUUAAACAUUGAUAAAAUAAAAGAAACGAAAGGACCACUAAAAAAAACAGACGUCUUAGGAUAUGCAAUACAAAACGAACAGAGCGUAGCAGCAUCAUAUGAGGCAUCAAAAUAUGUAAUGUACAAAUUUCCUAUAAGUGUAAAAGAUUAUAAACUCAAUUUUUAUAAAAGUAAAUUUCAUUAUUUGUUAGCACUUGUAAAAAUAAUAAUUCCCAAAAUUUUUAUUAUAUAUGAAGAAACAUUACAUUAUGAUAUUAAGUAUUUAUGUGUUGUUAUAGCUUUGUCUAUGUUUAUUUCGUUAUAUAAGAUAUCAGCUUCUUGUUAUAAAAAUGAGAAAUUUAUACAUUGUUUAGAGUAUAUAUUUUGUUAUUUUAAAGAUUUAUACAAAUUCAUACGAAAUAUUUUAUUAAACAACUUAUCCGAAUCGUCUUUUAUUAGUGGCUUGAUUAUGAGUAAAAUAAUAGAACAUUUUAUUUGUUUGAUAUUAAAUGAAGAUGUUUAUAUAAGUUUGAAGGAAAAGCUGAAUUUAGGUGCUAUUAAUAAUACGACUGUUUCUGGUUGCGUUAGUGAUGUUAGUAAAAAUGGAUUGUUUUUAUUUAAUAACAAAAAGGAUUAUAUUGGUGUAGGGUAUAACGAGUUAGUAGGGUAUAAGAUAAUGAAUUGUUUAAAUGUAUUUAAAAAUAUAAUAAAUAAAAUGGUAAUAAAGAAAAAGGAAGAGCUUUGUAAUUUAAAAAUGGGUAAUAGUUGUAAUAAGGAUAAAGAGUUAUAUAACAUUAUUUUUUCUUAUUUUUAUGACAUGGUUAUGCAUAGUUCUGGUCAGGCCAUAUAUAUGAAGUGUGCACAUAAGGAUGAAAGUAUUGGUAGGUUUAGUAUUGAUCAAUAUGAUAUCCACAUGUGUGAUAAUACAAACAUAAGAAGCACUUACAUGAACAACAUCUACGACGCUACAAAGUCAAACAUGAUAUUUUUCAACCAUGAAAAAGAAAUGAAAAAUAUUUUUUUAGAUUUUUGUGCUAUAUUUUUAAACUAUGAAACUUUGGAAAAAUAUAGAGAUAUAAAUGAAUUUAUUGGUUUGUCAGUAAAGCAUUUGAUACUUGACGAACGCAGUUGUUAUAACAACAUGGUGUUAUGCUAUUAUUAUUUGAUAAAGUUGUUUUAUAAUUUACUAAGAAUGGAUGAUGUAUCAUCUAUUUAUUUUUAUCAUUAUAAUAUAGCUAAGAGGUUGUAUUUUUUUCUGUUUCAAAAAAUAUGUUAUAAUAAAAAUGAUUCUAAGGAUGUAAAAAUUAAGAGUUUUAAAAAAAACGGAAGUGUGAAACAACAACAUGAAAAUGGCAAUCAUAUAUUUUUAUACGAUAAUAAAAAAAAAUUUUAAAAAAAAAAAAAAAAAAAAAAAAAAUUAUUAAGUUUAUUAAAAACGACUGAUAGGAAUAUAAGGUUGUACAUAUUUUUGUAUGCAUUAUUGUUAGUAAAUAAUGAGAAAAAAAUGAAUAUAAUAUACAGUUUAUUUUUUAAUAGUAUAAAAAUGUUAUAUACUAUGCUUUAUCCAUUGCUUGAUAGAAAUGUAGGAAGCAUUAGUGAAACUGAGCUAGAAAAGAUGGAAUUAACAAUAACAAAAGUUUUUGAUUUGUAUCAUUCAUAUUUAUUUUGUAAUAAUUUAUCAUUUCAAAAUUAUUUAUUUUUGGUUAAGCUUACUAAAGAUUGUUUGAAUAUGCAUGAUAAGUUUGAAGUUUCUUUUUUUGACUUAAAUGUUGAAAAAGUAAAAACGGAAGAUGAUACAAGUGGUGUUUUAAAUGUGAAAAAUGGUGUAGUAAAAAUAGACGAACAAGACAAAAAUAGAAAAAAUAAAAAUAGAAAAAGCAAUUCACCAAUGAGUAAAUUUAAUGCAGAUUUCCCAUUAUUAACAAACAUUAACAAUAGUAAUUUUGCAUUUUCAAAAAAUAGAAGAGUUACAGAUAGUAACUUGCAUAGAAAAAGAAAAGAAAAAAAUAUAAAAGUAAAAAAAAGCUCGGCUAAUGAUGUUAGCGCUAGUUGUGUUUCCAAGUGUGACAAUGGUAACAGUAGUAGUAGUAUUAAUAUAACAAAUGAUGGAACAAGCAAUAUAUUAAACAUUCAUAAUAACAGUGGUAUUAACGUAAGUGAACGCGAUCAUGGUGAUUGUUGGAAUGCAAACAAUAUUAUAGAAAAGAAAAUGGACGCUUGUAUUUAUAAUGAAGAGCAAAAAGAGGAAGAAUUAGUAAAUAGACUAAUGAUAAAUUAUGGAACCGAACUAGGCGAUGAAUAUACAAGCGAGCAUAACAAACAUGGAUUAGAAUAUAAGAAAACAAGUAAAGUUAUAAGCGAUGAUUUAAAUCCUGUUGGUGAAGAGAGCACCAAACAAAUGUUAAAAGUGAUAAAAAGACAAAAAGAAGAAGCAGAUGAAAAUGACAAAAAGAACAAACAAGGGGGUGGAUCACUUGUUCGUACAUGCUCGAGUGGUGAUGUCAGUGACAAUAAGAAAGAAAAUAAAAUUGAAGAUAGUAAAGAUGAUAAAAGUAAAAACAAAAAGAAAACAUCAGGAAAAGAAACAGGACAAUUUCGGGACGAGGUUACUAAUACCAAUGNNNNNNNNNNNNNNNNNNNNNNNNNNNNNNNNNNNNNNNNNNNNNNNNNNNNNNNNNNNNNNNNNNNNNNNNNNNNNNNNNNNNNNNNNNNNNNNNNNNNUAAUAGUAAUAGUAAUAGUAAUAAUAAUAAUAAUAGUAAUAAUAAUAGUAAUAGUAAUAAUAAUAGUAAUAGUAAUAAUACCACCAAUAAUAGUAAUAGUAAUAAUACCACCAACAAUAGCAAUAACUGCAGUAAUAACGACUUGGAUAAAAAAGAUAGUGAAGAAGAUUUACUCUAUGAAAAAAUUUUUAAGAAAACAUUUUAUGACAUAAACAAUGAAGAUAAAAAUAAAAGUAUGUACAAUAACUAUAAUUGUCAUUUCCCAAUACAUUUAAGAAGAAAUGGAAUUUACGUUGAUAACAUUUCUGUUUUUAAUAAUUUGAAUAAAGCCAUAUGUAUAUCAACAAAUUUAACAAAAAUGGAAACAAAUAAAAAAAGUACUUUAUAUGAUGAAGGAGUGGAAGCAAAGUUAGAACAUACGCAAUUGAAGGGACAGAAGGAAGUUGAUGGUUCAAACACCCCGGGUAUUGAUACACUUGUGCAUGAUAACAACGAUUAUGCUUAUAAUGGUGUUUAUAAUGAUGGUUUUUAUGAUGAUUAUUAUGAAGAUGAAGAUGAAGAUGAAGAUGAUGAUGAGGAUGAGGAUGAAGAUGAAGAUGAGGAUGAAGAUGAGGAUGACGAUGGAUAUGAUUAUGGAGAUGAUUAUGAAAAUGAGGACGAUGAAGAUGAUGAUGAAAAUAAUAAUAUAGAUUAUGACGACUCGAAUUACAGUGAAGAUGAAAAAGAGGAAGGCAAUAAAUCGAAUUCCCUAAGUAAUUUAAAAAAAAAAAAUUACAACCGUGCAAGCAGCAGUGGAAAGAACCGUGCAAGCAGAAGUACAAAUAGAAGUACAAAUAGAAGUACAAAUAGAAGUACAAAUAGAAGUACAAAUAGAAGUACAAAUAGAAGUACAAAUAGAAGUACAAAUAGAAGUACAAAUAGAAGCACAAAUAGAGGCACAAAUAGAGGCACAAACAACCGUACAAACAAUCGUACAAACAACCGUACAAACAACGCAAUAUAUAAAAAAUCGAAUACAGAUAAUAUUACCAUGACUGGUGGAAAUGCAACGACGAAAAGUGGCAAAAUAGAAAAAGUUAGUAACGUCAAAGAUAUUUUAAUAAGUGAUUACAUUACAAAAUAUAUCACCGGAAUGAAAAAUAAAUCUAACGUUUUUCGAGAAAAUAAAACAGAUAAAUUUACAAAUAUACAAGGUUUUUUUAAUAUUUUUGAAUCUUUUUACAAAGUUGAAAAUAAUAUAAAAAAACAUAUUAACAGGAAUAGAGGUUCAUUUUUUAAACGCUAUACAAAAAGUGGAUAUCUAUACAACGGUGAGGAGAAUGAAGAGGGUAUCGUUGUACUAUCAAUAAAUGGAAUAGACAUACAUAGAGAUUCUUGUAUUUCUGAAUAUUUAGUAAAGCUUAACGAUUUAUAUUAUUUGAAUAAAAAUAAUAUUUGUGUAAAAGAAGAAGACAUGUAUUAUAAUACAGAAAAUUUUUUUAUAUAUAAUGAUGUGGUUGAUACUUUUGCAUUUAAUUUUAUUUUUAUGAAAAUUAAAAUUAAAUGUUUAUGGAAUGGUAGCAGUAGUAACAACAGUAGUAUAAAUAGUAACAAUAGUAAUAUUGGAUAUUAUGGUUAUUACACAAGGGAAAAUGCGCAUAACAUAAAUUAUAAAAUUAUAAAAAAAAAAGCAAACUAUGGUGAACGAUUUGGUACAGAAAAUUUAUAUAAUUAUGACGCAUUGGCUGCUAAGGGUAAUGUGCAUAUAGUCAUGAAAAAAAAGAAAGUAAGUAGUGGUGGUGGUGGUAGUGGUGGUAGUGGUGGUGGUAGUGGUGGUGGUAGUGGUGGUGGUGUACAUGUGAAAGGUAGUCAUGCAAGUGUCAACAGUAAUAUAAGUUGUGCAAAUACAGGAGUUAGUAAUGUAAAUACUUCAAAUACAGGUGUUAAUAAUGCAAAUACUAGAUUAGUUACCACUGCUCUGACAAGUACAAAUGUUAACUCUGCUUUGAAUAACUACAAUUUUAGCUAUAACAAUACUAAUUAUAAUGCGAACUAUAAAAACAAUUUUAAUAAAUUUAAUUAUUAUUAUCCUAGUUAUAAUAACAUUUAUUAUAAGGAAAGCGAUAGAAAAGGUGAAAACGACAUGGUUGACAUAGUGAAUGUGGAAGACGACAUAUAUACAUAUGUAGACUCCAUAACUUAUAAUAAAAUUAAAAGUAGUAUAGAUACACCAUUAUGUUGUAAAAGUAUUAAUGAGAAGUAUAGCACUUAUAACAUAUCUGUUGACUUAAUAAAUUAUGUAUAUAGCUCUAACGAAUUGGAAAGGUUAUGUUCUGAGAGUGUGACUGAUGGUUUUGAUGAUAAUACAACUUGUAAUACUAUUAUGCAGGAUGGAAAAGAGAAAAAUUUAAAUUUUUUUCAAAUAUUAAAACGUUGUUUAAAUAAUAAAUCAAACAUUAAAAAAAAGUGCACCAGUGAUAAUAAAAAAUGGGAAGAAGUAAGCUAUUCCGAUUUGAAUGAUUUAAAAAAUAAGAAUAAUGUUAUUAACGGUGGUAAUAUAUGCAAAGAGACCAGCACAGAUAAUAUAAUAGAAGAAAGUUUAUAUAUGCAAGAAAACAUGUGUAAUAUACAAGAGGAUGAUAACCCAAAUGUUAUGUUUUUAAAUGAGUAUGUAAAAGAUGUUUAUAAAAAUAAUAAAGUAAUAGACUUAUCAUUGUCAGAAAAUUAUAAGAAUCGUGUUGAACAAGAUUCUAUGUAUUUAUAUAAUCAUUUAAAGACAGAGAUGAAGAAAGUAACAGAACUAGUAUUGUUAGAAGACCAUUACAUUAACAAAGAUGUUAUGCUUAGUACUUAUGUGCAUAACUCUAAUUUUAUAAGAGGUGAACUUAACGAUCGUAGUAGUAGUGGUGGUGGUGGUGGUGGUGAUGGUGAUGGUAGUAGUAGUAGUAAUAGUAGUAGUAAUAACGGUAGCUGCGAAAACGGAAUAAUGAAAAAUAUACAGAAUUGUAGACAAAAAGAAAAAAUGUUGUAUAAAAUGGUAAACUUUGGUGUGUUGUGUAACCUUACAGGAGUUGAACAGACAAACAAUACAUUUGUGAGUAAUAUAGAAGAAAAUGCUUGUAACAACUUUUCGAAUAGUAACAAGCGAUUGUUAGAAAAGGACGAUGUAUAUUUAUUGUUUAAUUAUAUGCCUAUGUAUAAUGAUAUAGUUAAAAAUUAUAGUAUAGUUGAAGAAGUGGCAUCAGAUCCUUCUUCGGAAUUGGUUACCAUUUACCAAAAUACAGAAGGAACAUGUGACAUUAAGAGGGGUAGUAGCAAUAAUGACGUAAUAUGUAAUAAAAUAAACUGUGUAAAUAAAAAAAAAAAGAAAAAUAAAGGAAGUGAUAUAUUUUUCGAAAAUAUGUACAAUUUUUUGCUAUAUAAAUUAUUAUUUUUAUUAUAUAAAUAUUUUAAAAUGUGUGAUACUCCAUCUUUUUUAAAUUUUUACCUGAACAAUGAUGUUGAAGAUAAUAUGAUGGUAACGGGUUUUAAUUAUGAUGAGUGCAUAAAUGUGUUAAAUGAAUCGACAAAAGAAGAAAUGGUUACUAUUCAGGAAUUAUUUUUAAGUGGUGUAUCUUCUACUGGUUGUUAUGAUGACAAUAAUGUUACAAAUCCAAAUGAAAAAAUGUUUGAAGUUACAAUAAACGAAAUAAAAAAAGAUGAUUUUUUAAUUAACAGUAUAAAUAACAAAAUAAUGUAUUAUUUGAAUAACCCAUUACUGAUAUUUAGUGAGAAGUUGCCUUCAUGGGUAUAUAAAAUAUUUUAUCAAUUUAAUUUUGUUAUAGAUAUUGAUAUAAGGUUAGUGUUUUUUGAGUUAUUAUAUUUUGGUAACUAUAGAGGUUUAUAUAAUUAUAAAAAUAAAAUAAAAGAAAUAGUAGAAAAAUUUAAUGAUAAAAUAACUAUUGAUUAUAAAAUGUUAACAGAUGAACAUUUAUUAUCUGUUUGUUCAAAUUAUACAUAUAAUAGUGAUAAAAAGAAUCUGUUUCAAUUUUUACAUGAUACUACUACAUUAACAUUACCGAAAACGAAAAUACGAUUACAAAGGAAUAAAAUGAUAGAUGCAUCUUUCCGUAUAUUUAAUCAUUUACAUAUUACAAAUUCUAAUCAAAUAACACCUCCUUAUCUUGAUAUUGAGUUUUUUAAUGAGGAGGGUACAGGGUUAGGUCCAUCCUUAGAAUUUUUUACUGAAUUAAUAGAAGAACUAAAAAAAGAGAAACUUAAAUUAUUUAAACUUGAAAAUAAUUAUCUUUUUCCAUUGCCAUAUAAAGUAGAUUUAAAUAAUUUUGAUUUUGAUUUAUUAAAAAAACCAACAUCAGAUGAGUUAUUAGGAGCAAACAGUAGUAACACUAAUAACACAAGUACAAGUUCUUCUGGUAAUAGUGGUAGUUAUAGUACUAGUAGUAGUAUUAAUAACAUGCAUAAUACUGGAACUGUUACUAAUAGUGGUGUUACAAGUGCGACUACUGCAAGUGCGACUACUGCGAGUGCGACUACUGCAAGUGCUACUACUACUACUACUACUACUACUACUACUACUACUGCUAGUAAUAAUAGUAAUAAUAGUAAUAAUAAUAGUAAUAGUAGUAACAUACUUAAUAGCUAUUUACAGCAUAGUUAUGCGUAUCCAGGCAGUACUACUUAUACUAAUAGUAGCAGUAGCAUUAAUAAUAAUAAUAGUAGUAGUAAUAGUUAUACAAAUAGAUAUAAUAACUACAGCAGUAACAAUAAUAACAACAACGUGGCGUAUAGCACAAGUAACUAUAAUAACACCUACGAAACUUCAAGAGCUAAUAACAAAAGAUUGAAUAUAAUUAAUAAUGAGAAUCAAACGAACUUAAACCCAAAUCUGUCUGUUAAUAACAUCUUUAACCAUUUUAUUUUUUCAAUGAAUGCAAAUUUAUUUCCAAAAAAUAAUGAAAAUGUAGAAGAUGAAACAUAUGACAAUUUAUCUGAGGUAGAUUACUUAGAUGAUAGUAAGUUUGUAGGUAAAAAAGGUAAGAUGUAUUAUGUAGAUAGUUUUAAAAAAAGUAGUAGAAAAAAGGAUAACAACAGUAAUAAUAAUAAUAAUAAUAAUAACAAUUAUAAAAAGAAAAGUUCUUUAUGUGAUGAAAAUAAGACUCAAGCAGUUGUUGGUAAUAAUAAAAAUAAGAAAAAAAGUAAAAUAAAAAACAAAAAGAAGGUGAAACAGGAGAAAUCGAAUAGUGAAACAGAAAAUGCGAACGAGUUGGAAAAUGAGAAUGAGUUGAAACAGGGAAAUGAUGUGAGUAAAAAGAAGAAAAGCGGAAAAAACAAUUUUUUUGUAGAAGAAAUGGAAAUUAAAGAAAAAUGCAAAUCGAAAACAGAAAAAAAAAAAAAAAAAAAAAAUACCACUACUGCUUCUUCCAUUACUGUCACAGGUUCCACUACUUUAGACAAAGAUGAGGCAUAUUAUACAGCCAAAAGUGGUACUCAAGAAAGCGAAAAAAAAACAUUUACAUCUUAUAAAACACCUAAAAAAGGUAGCAUCAAAUCUGAAAAUAUAAAAAAUAAAAAAGUGAAUGAUGAGGAUGAACAUGUAGAAAGGAAUAAAAAAAAAAGAAUGAGAUGUUUUGUGGAGGAAGAAGAAGAAGAAGAAGAGGAAGAUGAAGAGGAAGAGGAAGAGGAAGAGGAAGAAGAAGAUGAUGGUGGUAGUGAGUUAUAUGAGGAAGAAAAUAAAAAAUCGAACAAGAAAAAAACUACCGUAAAAGAACAUGUCAAGGUGGGAUCAAGAAAGAAGAAGGUAGAGAUUUCAUGUAGGGCUGCAGAUAGUGUGACCGAGAAAGAAGAGGAAGAAGAAGAAGAAGAAGAAGAAGAAGAGGAAAAGGAAGAGGAAGAAAAAGAGGAAGGUGAUAAUGAUGAGGAGGAUGCAGAAUAUGUAUAUGAUUAUGACGAUGACGACGAUGACGACGAUGAUGACGAUGAUGACGAUGAAGAUGAGGAUGAAGAUGAAGAUGAAGGUGAGGAUGAAGAUGAGAAUGAAUAUGAGAAUGAAGAUGAGAAUGAAGAUGAAGAAGAUGAUAAUGAAGAUGAAGAAGAUGAGAAUGAAGAUGAAGAAGAUGAUUAUUAUGACGAUGACAAUUAUGAAGAUAGCGAUUAUGACGAUUAUUAUUAUGAAGACGUCGAAGAUGAAAAUGUUCAAAUUGAAGAGAAAGAAAAGGAAGAUGAUAAUAAUAAUGUACAAAAAGGUAUGGUAAAGAACAAAAACAAAAAGGAUGAAAAAGGAACAAGUAAAUUGCACCUUUCAGGAAAUAAAGGUGAUGUAGACGAUAAUUUAACGAAGCGUUGCUCUAAUUCGGCUACUGAUAAAUACAUUAUUGCUUCAGAUAACUAUAGCGGAACAAUAAAAAAAGGGGAAAAAAAAAUGGGCAUAAAAGAAGAAAAAAUCGAAAGGAGCGAAAAAAGUGUAAAGAGUGAAAAAAAAUAUGGAUCCCACAUCACAGAAGAUAAACAUGUAAAUGAUAAAACAGCAAAUGAUGAAAGUACAGAAAAAAAAAAAAAAAACAAUGACGAUAGACUUAAUAAAAAAAAAGCAAAUACUGAAAAAGUAGCUGAUAAGGAUAGAUACAAAACUCAGAAUGUAGUCAAAACAAAUAUAGGUGAUACUAAUAUUACUACAGAUAUAAAAAAUGUAUCUGUAAAAAAAUAUAAAUUAUUUACUAAAGAUUUCGAAGACCACUUAUUAAAGGAAGACAACAAUAUACAAUUGAGCCUCCCAAACAAUAGUAGUAAUUCUACAACAUCUAGGGUUACGGGUGCAUCUACAACUACAGCUGCCGCUACUAGUACAGCUGCAACUACAAAUACAGCUGUAACUACAAAUACAGCUGCAACUACAAAUACAGCUUCAACUACAAAUACAGCUGCAACUACAAAUACAGCUGCAACUACAAAUACAGCUGCAACAACAACUGUAACUACAACUACGGCUACAACUACGGCUACAGCCAAUUCAUCUAAAAAGACAAAUAUAAAUAAAAAUAUGAAAUUAAAACAAGUGCUUACUCCAAAUGUAAUUAACUCAAUUUUCAAUGAAAUCGAAAAUGAAGUAUUGGGUGGAAAAAAAAAAGUUGAUAAGAGCACGACUCAAAAAGAUACAGAUAUAGGAGAAAAGGACAAGAGUGGAGGUGGUGAUAAUAACAUAAAUAAAAAAAUGAAUGGAAAAAAUAAGAAAAAAAUUAAAAGUAGUGAAAAAGAUACCUUAGAAAAUAGACUAUUUAAAUACUUUAAGUUGUUGGGACAACUUUGUGCGAAGAUUCUAUCAGAUAAUAGGAAUAUUCAUAUAAAUUUACAUCCAUUGUUUUGGUAUUUAGUUAUGAAUAAUUCAGAAUACAUCAACAUAUCUAAACUGUAUCAUUAUGGAGCAAUUGAUAAAGUAAAUAUGAACAGUAUAAACAAAUUAUUAGAGUAUAGAAAAGAAAACAAAAAUGUUGAAGAUUUACAUAUCGAUUUUACACUAUUAGGAAGUGACCCACCAAUUGAACUUAUACCAAAUGGAUCUAACAUUUUAGUUAAUAAUGACAAUUUAAAUCUGUUUAUAAAUAAAACUAUCGAAUAUUCGUUAUAUGAUGGAAUUAAAUUUCAGGUAAUGUAUUUAUAUGCUUCCUGCAUGCAUGCAUGUAUGUAUGUAUGUAUGCAUGUAUGCAUGUAUGCAUGUAUGUAUGUAUGUUUGCAUGUAUGUAUGUAUGUAUGUAUGUAUG